CUUGAGAUACCCCUCGGUGUCCUUAGGUAACGCAUACCCCUUGUAAACACUGACAGGAGGGUCGCAUAUUGAAGAUCCAGCUUGAGCUUGACACUCAGUGAAACUCUUAUAGACACCAACAAUAUCGCCUUUCCGCACAACAAAGAAAGCAUCAUUCUCUUGCUCCAUAAUUGUUGGAGCAGGAUCCAAUUUACUCUUUCGCGGAGUUUUUGC
This 213-nucleotide unclassified non-coding RNA is filed under the name Hevea brasiliensis (rubber tree). The record is from RNAcentral. Lineage: Eukaryota; Viridiplantae; Streptophyta; Magnoliopsida; Malpighiales; Euphorbiaceae.